UAUUGCUCAGUUGGUAGAGCACAAGGUUCUUAACCUUGUGGUCGUGGGUUCAAGCCCCACUA
This 62-nucleotide transfer RNA is filed under the name Triticum aestivum (bread wheat). It matches the Rfam family "tRNA", at positions 6 to 65 of the family's 71-position model. From Rfam's summary of the family: Transfer RNA (tRNA) molecules are approximately 80 nucleotides in length. Their secondary structure includes four short double-helical elements and three loops (D, anti-codon, and T loops). The record is from Rfam by way of RNAcentral. RNAcentral also lists the same sequence under 1 other name. Lineage: Eukaryota; Viridiplantae; Streptophyta; Magnoliopsida; Poales; Poaceae.